Molecule: long non-coding RNA, 435 nt
Organism: Helicoverpa armigera (cotton bollworm)
Lineage: Eukaryota; Metazoa; Arthropoda; Insecta; Lepidoptera; Noctuidae
Exons: 2
Source: RefSeq, a predicted model, not a curated record
GAUUCACAGAUGUCUGGCGUGAAGGUGGCAAGAAGAAGCCCCUAAAGGCACCAAAGAAAGAGUCGAAAGAUCUCGACGAGGAUGACCUAGCCCACAAACAGAAGUUGAAGGAACAGCAAAAGGCCCUACAGGAGGCGAAAGCAAAGGCUUCACAGAAAGGUCCUUUAGCGACUGGAGGUAUCAAGAAAUCCGGCAAAAGUGACACAACUACUUUAAACUUAACUUAUAGGCUAUAAAUUCUAAUGUAAGAAUUAUUAAAAGAUCUUUGUUGUUUUAAUUUGAUUUUAUAUUACAGCAUAAACUAUGGAUAUUGACUAUCAUGUAACUUCCAUGUAACUGCGUACUGCCACAAUUAGGCCCAAGUAAACGUUUAUAACUUACAUACAUACCAAACUUGUAACAUGCAUUUUAUAUAAAUAAAACAUUUAAUAUCGA